Molecule: ribosomal RNA, 467 nt
Filed under: uncultured bacterium
Lineage: Bacteria
Description: partial 16S ribosomal RNA
Rfam family: Bacterial small subunit ribosomal RNA
Source: RNAcentral
GACGAACGCUGGCGGCGUGCUUAACAUAUGCAAGUCGAACGGAAAGGCCCUGCUUUUGUGGGGUGCUCGAGUGGCGAACGGGUGAGUAACACGUGAGUAACCUGCCCUUGACUUUGGGAUAACUUCAGGAAACUGGGGCUAAUACCGGAUAGGAGCUCCUGCUGCAUGGUGGGGUUUGGAAAGUUUCGGCGGUUGGGGAUGGACUCGCGGCUUAUCAGCUUGUUGGUGGGGUAGUGGCUUACCAAGGCUUUGACGGGUAGCCGGCCUGAGAGGGUGACCGGCCACAUUGGGAAUGAGAUACGGCCCAGACUCCUACGGGAGGCAGAAGUGGGGAAUAUUGCACAAUGGGCGGAAGCAUGAUGCAGCAACGCCGCGUGCGGGAUGACGGCCUUCGGGUUGUAAACCGCUUUCGCCUGUGACGAAGCGUGAGUGACGGUAAUGGGUAAAGAAGCACCGGCUAACUACGU